This 89-nucleotide transfer RNA is filed under the name Microbacterium laevaniformans. RNAcentral describes it as "tRNA-His". The record is from RNAcentral. Lineage: Bacteria; Bacillati; Actinomycetota; Actinomycetes; Micrococcales; Microbacteriaceae.
CGCCCGCUCGUGCAGGAUGCGUGGGCGACGCUGUGGGCGCUGCCGGUGCCCGCCGCGGCGCAGCUGCCGUUCCGCAUCGCAACGAACGU